UUAAUAGCAUAUUCAUUUGACGUUAGCUGCAGAAGAAAGCACCGGCUAACUCCGUGCCAGCAGCCGCGGUAAUACGGAGGGUGCGAGCGUUAAUCGGAAUUACUGGGCGUAAAGCGCAUGCAGGUGGUUUGUUAAGUCAGAUGUGAAAGACCCGGGGCGUCAACCUCGGAAUUGCAUUUGAAACUGGCAAACUAGAGUACUGUAGAGGGGGGUAGGAAUUUCAGGUGUAGCGGUGAAAUGCGUAGAGAUCUGAAGGAAUACCGGUGGCGAAGGCGGCCCCCUCGGACAGAUACUGACACUCAGAUGCGAAAGCGUGGGGAGCAAACAGGAUUAGAUACCCUGGUAG
This 346-nucleotide ribosomal RNA is filed under the name uncultured bacterium. RNAcentral describes it as "bacterial SSU rRNA". It matches the Rfam family "Bacterial small subunit ribosomal RNA", at positions 453 to 793 of the family's 1533-position model. The record is from RNAcentral.